UCCCAAUAAAUAAGAACAUUAUUAUCACAAUAUUUCACCGACUUCUAGAGAGAGAGAGAGAGGAUAUCCUCAACUACUCCAAGAACUGCUUCCAAGCCUUCUCUACAAGUUUCUACAAGAGUAGAGAGAAAGAACGUGUCGGAGAAGGACAAACAUACAGAAGACUGGUUGCGAAAACUCAAACAUGUAUUGGAUGAAACUCGGGACAUCAUGGAACAUUGCAGCUUUGAUGAUCUUCGUCUUCUGAUCAAAAAGCUCUCCUCUCCAACCUGUAUCAAGUUGAUUACCUAGAUCCGGGUUGAAGAGGAGGCAUUUCGCCUUUUGACUUGAAGGAGAAGAUCUUCAAAUGUGCAUUCAUCCAUGAUGUCUUGAACCUCAUAUGCCACGACUUUGAGUUUCCGCAACCAAUCUUCAGUUUGUUUGUUCAUCCUUCUCUCCUGCAAGGUAUUUCUCUAAGCAUCUUUGAGUUCGUCACUAAUUGAAAUAGUGUGCUUGAUAGCUUUUGAACCACAUUCUUAAAAUUCUAAAACAAGGAGAAUUCAUCCUUAAUGAGAGGUGCCAAAUUUGAAAACAAACCAAUGAGUUGAAUAAACUUCCAAGUUAAGUUGUUUGUUUAGUGAGAAAAUGAUAAUGCAUUUCCAUUCAAUAUAAAACAAUACAAACAAUACAAACAUUACACAUUCUAUUUGUUAAUUAAUGGUUGUCUCAUGUACUAUAGCAAGAAGUUUACCUCAAAUUUUAAAAUCAAUUUAAGAAUGCUUGUUGUAUGCAUACUUAUUAUUAAUGAUUGUGGUGAUUCGAUGUAUCAUGUAAUCUCUUUUUAAUUUAAUUAAUUUGAAGGGGUCAACAAAAUAGAA
This is a long non-coding RNA of Impatiens glandulifera, 857 nucleotides long. RefSeq lists it as uncharacterized. The record is from RefSeq and is a predicted model, not a curated record. Lineage: Eukaryota; Viridiplantae; Streptophyta; Magnoliopsida; Ericales; Balsaminaceae. The transcript has 3 exons.